This 253-nucleotide ribosomal RNA is filed under the name uncultured bacterium. Its description in RNAcentral is "partial 16S ribosomal RNA". It matches the Rfam family "Bacterial small subunit ribosomal RNA", at positions 524 to 776 of the family's 1533-position model. The record is from RNAcentral.
UACGUAGGGUGCGAGCGUUAAUCGGAAUUACUGGGCGUAAAGCGUGCGCAGGCGGUUUUGUAAGCCCGAUGUGAAAUCCCCGGGCUUAACCUGGGAAUGGCAUUUGGGACUGCAAGGCUGGAGUUUGGCAGAGGAGACUGGAAUUCCCGGUGUAGCAGUGAAAUGCGUAGAUAUCGGGAGGAAUACCGAUGGCGAAGGCAGGUCUCUGGGCUGACACUGACGCUCAUGCACGAAAGCGUGGGGAGCAAACAGG